This 1343-nucleotide ribosomal RNA is filed under the name uncultured bacterium. RNAcentral describes it as "16S ribosomal RNA". It matches the Rfam family "Bacterial small subunit ribosomal RNA", at positions 28 to 1378 of the family's 1533-position model. The record is from RNAcentral.
GACGAACGCCGUCGGCGUGCUUAACACAUGCAAGUCGAACGGAAAGGCCCUGCUUUUGUGGGGUGCUCGAGUGGCGAACGGGUGAGUAACACGUGAGUAACCUGCCCUUGACUUUGGGAUAACUUCAGGAAACUGGGGCUAAUACCGGAUAGGAGCUCCUGCUGCAUGGUGGGGGUUGGAAAGUUUCGGCGGUUGGGGAUGGACUCGCGGCUUAUCAGCUUGUUGGUGGGGUAGUGGCUUACCAAGGCUUUGACGGGUAGCCGGCCUGAGAGGGUGACCGGCCACAUUGGGACUGAGAUACGGCCCAGACUCCUACGGGAGGCAGCAGUGGGGAAUAUUGCACAAUGGGCGGAAGCCUGAUGCAGCAACGCCGCGUGCGGGAUGACGGCCUUCGGGUUGUAAACCGCUUUCGCCUGUGACGAAGCGUGAGUGACGGUAAUGGGUAAAGAAGCACCGGCUAACUACGUGCCAGCAGCCGCGGUGAUACGUAGGGUGCGAGCGUUGUCCGGAUUUAUUGGGCGUAAAGGGCUCGUAGGUGGUUGAUCGCGUCGGAAGUGUAAUCUUGGGGCUUAACCCUGAGCGUGCUUUCGAUACGGGUUGACUUGAGGAAGGUAGGGGAGAAUGGAAUUCCUGGUGGAGCGGUGGAAUGCGCAGAUAUCAGGAGGAACACCAGUGGCGAAGGCGGUUCUCUGGGCCUUUCCUGACGCUGAGGAGCGAAAGCGUGGGGAGCGAACAGGCUUAGAUACCCUGGUAGUCCACGCUGUAAACGGUGGGUACUAGGUGUGGGGUCCAUUCCACGGGUUCCGUGCCGUAGCUAACGCUUUAAGUACCCCGCCUGGGGAGUACGGCCGCAAGGCUAAAACUCAAAGGAAUUGACGGGGCCCCGCACAAGCGGCGGAGCAUGCGGAUUAAUUCGAUGCAACGCGUAGAACCUUACCUGGGUUUGACAUGGAUCGGGAGUGCUCAGAGAUGGGUGUGCCUCUUUUGGGGUCGGUUCACAGGUGGUGCAUGGCUGUCGUCAGCUCGUGUCGUGAGAUGUUGGGUUAAGUCCCGCAACGAGCGCAACCCUUGUUCACUGUUGCCAGCACGUUAUGGUGGGGACUCAGUGGAGACCGCCGGGGUCAACUCGGAGGAAGGUGGGGAUGACGUCAAGUCAUCAUGCCCCUUAUGUCCAGGGCUUCACGCAUGCUACAAUGGCUGGUACAGAGAGUGGCGAGCCUGUGAGGGUGAGCGAAUCUCGGAAAGCCGGUCUCAGUUCGGAUUGGGGUCUGCAACUCGACCUCAUGAAGUCGGAGUCGCUAGUAAUCGCAGAUCAGCAACGCUGCGGUGAAUACGUUCCCGGG